This is a long non-coding RNA of Neofelis nebulosa (Clouded leopard), 1703 nucleotides long. RefSeq lists it as uncharacterized. The transcript is spliced from 5 exons. Lineage: Eukaryota; Metazoa; Chordata; Mammalia; Carnivora; Felidae. The record is from RefSeq and is a predicted model, not a curated record.
CCACACGGCGCAGAGCCUCCGGGAUCCCCGCCCCCGCCCCGCCCACCCGGGCCGCGAGGCUCCGCCCAGACCACGCCCCCACGUCGGAGCGGGUUUAAAUCCAACUGGGCAGGUUCUAUCAGGAGUCUAAUACUCACUGUAUAGCUGAGGAAAGUGCACCAUCUAAAGGGACCCGUCCCUAUCACAGAGCUGGCAAAGCAGCCAACCAACAGAAUAUGGACCGAGACAGGUCUGAAUACAAGUCUCACUGGACCCGGAACCCCGGUGCUCCAACCACUAUUUGCCCCACUGAUGUGACAACAACAGGAAGGAGCUUCUUGGUAACAGUUGGUGGACCUACUCCCAUUCCACUUUAGAGUGCUGAUGGGGUUUUGGAGUGAUGGGUGUCCGGACCUGAUGGCCAAGAAAGAAUUCUUGAGACGUCUUUGGUGCAAAAAAGAUGAAAACCAGCGUGUCCACUGGUGAGGCUAAUGUUCCUGUGAGCUGGGGCCAGGAAAAGGCAGCAGACAAAGGGAACAGUCAGCCAAGUAGAGUUUGCUGGAGAUUUACGUGGAAACCUCCUCACAGAGGCAGUGCUGCUGGAUUUAUAACGAGGAUGAUAUCAUCCAAACUCGCCAGCAUCCCCAUAGAGGACUUUGAAGAUUACGAAUGUCUUCUGUUACUCAGUCUUCCUCUGCCCAUGCUUUCCAUAUUCUUGGUGCAGACGGUAUGUAUAAUAUAUUACUUUUUUGGAAAACAGAGUAAUGUAUAUGUGUGUGUAUAUAUACGUAUAUAUAUAUGCGCAUAUAUAUAUAUCACUAUAUAUUUUUUCCCCAUGAUUUUUCCUUACAUAGACUAUUCUGAAAGUUCAUUCACAAAGCUGGGAAGCAUAGUUGCCUCUGGGUAGGGAUCUGAGUGCCAGAGGUACGAAAGAGAAUAAUUUUGCAUAAUAUCCUCUUUUAUAUUUUUUGAAUCUUUUAAUCAUGGAUACGGAUUCCUUAUUCAAAACAGUAAACUUAAAGAAAAAAUAAAUUAAAAAAUAAACUGUGGUCAAGUGUCUGUCUUACACUCCGCUGUUCCUGAAUUGGUUCCUCCGAGCAGAUGAUUGUUUCUGAAUGUGAUUAACUCGCAAAGUAUUUAUAAUACAGUUAAAGGCUGUUUAGGGUUCAUCAGAAAGAAGUAGACUGAAGGAAGGCCCCUGGAGGUGCAGGGGAUGGAAAUGCCCUAGAGGGGGGCUGUUUCUCCAACCUCAGCCAGGAAAGACCAGACCACUGGGGCGUGAUGAGUGCCGGUAAUUCCAGAAAAUCAGUUAAGAAAUGAGGUGGACUCUUCGUCUUGGCACGUGGCUGGAAGGGGAGUAUUUAGUAGGAGCAUUGGGAGAUUUGAACUGGAUUUAUGGAACUUCUUUUUUAGUUUUGAAAGUAAUUUGGCUGCAGGUACCAAACAUUUGUUGCUGGACUGACCUGUGGCCACAGAACCAAGGUGCAGGCUUUAAAGGCAGAGUUACCUGACUGUAUUUAAUACCUGCCCUGGGCCGGAUGGUGGGUAGGCAUUUUGCCAGUCUUAAACAAUCCUAACAAGUAGUGAAUUUUACCUGCGAAUGAACUUAAGACCAUAACGAAGUUAGGGGUUAAUCAGCUGGCCCCGGAUGUCACAGCUAAUAUAGCAGACUCACAAUGUGACACCAGAUUCUCUUUGAUUCCAAACCCUAGGCUUUCCCUGAU